This 253-nucleotide ribosomal RNA is filed under the name uncultured bacterium. Its description in RNAcentral is "partial 16S ribosomal RNA". It matches the Rfam family "Bacterial small subunit ribosomal RNA", at positions 524 to 776 of the family's 1533-position model. The record is from RNAcentral.
UACAGAGGGUGCAAGCGUUGUUCGGAAUUAUUGGGCGUAAAGCGCGUGUAGGCGGCUUGGCAAGUCGGGUGUGAAAGCCCUCAGCUCAACUGAGGAAGUGCGCCCGAAACUGCUGAGCUUGAGUGCCGGAGAGGGUGGCGGAAUUCCCCAAGUAGAGGUGAAAUUCGUAGAUAUGGGGAGGAACACCGGUGGCGAAGGCGGCCACCUGGACGGUGACUGACGCUGAGACGCGAAAGCGUGGGGAGCAAGCAGG